Long non-coding RNA from Mya arenaria, 326 nucleotides. RefSeq lists it as uncharacterized. NCBI's taxonomy places the organism in Eukaryota, Metazoa, Mollusca, Bivalvia, Myida, Myidae. The record is from RefSeq and is a predicted model, not a curated record. The transcript is spliced from 3 exons.
CGAUGCCUUGGCAGAACACACAGGCAGCCAUUAUAAAUCUAAGACUGGUUGUGUUUAUUAUUGUAUUGUUAAUCGAAAUUAUCACUUGGAAGAAGGCUUAUCAUCUAUAGACAGCAUGAGCAACGCUACAAUGACGUUAAUUCUGGCGCUUUCGGUCACUGUUAGCAUCCUCGCAAUAACCCGCGCUCUUCCGGACCAAACAAACCCCUUUGAUUUGUGUGAUACACCAAUUCCGGUGAACGAAAACGACUGCGGAAUUGCUGGCGUAUGGCGUAAUCAGUUGAAAUCGGUGAUGAAGUUCACCUGCGUAGCUGGUCACAUCGAGG